RNAcentral lists this long non-coding RNA (210 nucleotides) under Elaeis guineensis (African oil palm). RNAcentral describes it as "long non-coding RNA (EGUI_LNC018433)". The record is from RNAcentral. Lineage: Eukaryota; Viridiplantae; Streptophyta; Magnoliopsida; Arecales; Arecaceae.
CCCUCAUGACUGCUGCUUUUCCUUCACACACUGCACUAAUUUUCAUGUAGAGCACCCCCAAUUAAUAGGUCAUACCACAUGGAGUCUUAUUCCUCCACACACUACACUGAUUUUCAUGCACAGCACCCCUAUUAAAUAGGUUAUACCACAUGGAGUCUUGUUUGAACUCUUCUUUCCCUUUCUUUUUAUUUUAAAAAUUUUAAUCCCACA